This 253-nucleotide ribosomal RNA is filed under the name uncultured bacterium. RNAcentral describes it as "partial 16S ribosomal RNA". It matches the Rfam family "Bacterial small subunit ribosomal RNA", at positions 524 to 776 of the family's 1533-position model. The record is from RNAcentral.
UACAGAGGGCUCAAGCGUUGUUCGGAAUCACUGGGCGUAAAGGGUGCGUAGGCCGCACGGUAAGUCAGAGGUGAAAUCCCGGAGCUCAACUUCGGAAUUGCCUCCGAUACUGCCGUGCUUGAGGACUGGAGAGGAGAGUGGAAUUCACAGUGGAGCAGUGAAAUGCGUAGAUAUUGUGAGGAACACUAGUGGCGAAGGCGAAUCUCUGGACAGUUCCUGACGCUGAGGCACGAAGGCCAGGGGAGCAAACGGG